Molecule: ribosomal RNA, 253 nt
Filed under: uncultured bacterium
Lineage: Bacteria
Description: partial 16S ribosomal RNA
Rfam family: Bacterial small subunit ribosomal RNA
Source: RNAcentral
UACAGAGGGGGCAAGCGUUGUUCGGAAUUACUGGGCGUAAAGGGCGCGUAGGCGGCCUCUUAAGUCGAACGUGAAAUCCCCGGGCUCAACCCGGGAACUGCGUCCGAUACUGGAAGGCUUGAAUCCGGGAGAGGGAUGCGGAAUUCCAGGUGUAGCGGUGAAAUGCGUAGAUAUCUGGAGGAACACCGGUGGCGAAGGCGGCAUCCUGGACCGGCAUUGACGCUGAGGCGCGAAAGCCAGGGGAGCAAACGGG